Meriones unguiculatus (Mongolian gerbil) is the source of this 132-nucleotide small nucleolar RNA. The record is from Ensembl. Lineage: Eukaryota; Metazoa; Chordata; Mammalia; Rodentia; Muridae.
CCUGCUCAUAGGAGCAUCACAGGUGUGACACUCGAGUCACUCGUGUGUCAGUAGGUGGCAGAGAGGAGAAAGACUAUGUAUAAGCUCAGUUUUGUGACCUAUGAACAACUGAAUGAUUAGUAGCCUAACAUU